This 361-nucleotide RNase P RNA is filed under the name Chloroflexi bacterium CFX4. RNAcentral describes it as "RNase P RNA component class A". It matches the Rfam family "Bacterial RNase P class A". From Rfam's summary of the family: Ribonuclease P (RNase P) is a ubiquitous endoribonuclease, found in archaea, bacteria and eukarya as well as chloroplasts and mitochondria. Its best characterised activity is the generation of mature 5'-ends of tRNAs by cleaving the 5'-leader elements of precursor-tRNAs. Lineage: Bacteria; Bacillati; Chloroflexota. The record is from RNAcentral. RNAcentral also lists the same sequence under 1 other name.
CGAGUUCAGCAGGUGAUCGCGCCCUGCUUCGGCAGGGUGAGGAAAGUCCGCCCUCCACAGAGCAACGAUGCGAGCUAACGGCUCGGCGGCGCAAGCCGACGGACAGUGCAACAGAGAAGGGUAUUGCCCGUGCCGCAAGGCAUGGGCGAGGGUGAAACGGUGGUGUAAGAGACCACCAGCGCGCUCAGCAAUGGGCACGGCUGGCAAACCCCAUCGGGAGCAAGGUCAAGCAGAAGCAAGGGGCUGCUCGUCCCGCUAAUAGCUUCGGGUAGACCGCAUGAGGCGUCCGCGUGAGCGGCGUCCCAGAGAGAUGAUCACCGCCCGCAAGGGUACAGAAGGCGGCUUAUGCGGAACUUGGGCG